GUGGCGGCGGGCCCAGGCCCGCGUUAACGGCUGUUAGCCUCAUCUGCUCCUCGACGGGGAACCAGCCCCGCCCGCGCCGUGCUGAAGCUGACGCUGAGUGCCGGCGUCCGGCCACCCCGCGGCACAGGCUGCCAGGGGCCUGACCCUGCAGUUGGCUGCAGUCUUGGCAUUUGUCGUUUAACUCGUUGCUACGUCAUUAUUCGGAUCUCAAAAUGUGAUAAACUGCAGCAAGCAUGCGCACACAUAUGGACCCAAACAUCAGCCCAGAAAGGGAAAUUCAGUCUCUACAAGGAGAGGAACCUCCUCAACCCAUACAGCUGUGAGAGCAUGAGUUCAAGUUCAAGCACAGUUGCCAAGAGCAUGGUGCCUGUAGCCACUGUGAAGCGCUCAUUGGAAAUCCCUCAUCAAUUGUUUUUACCACUGAAUGCAAAUAAAAAAGUGAGAUAUGAUUGCGA
Columba livia (rock pigeon) is the source of this 455-nucleotide long non-coding RNA. RefSeq lists it as uncharacterized. The transcript has 2 exons. The record is from RefSeq and is a predicted model, not a curated record. NCBI's taxonomy places the organism in Eukaryota, Metazoa, Chordata, Aves, Columbiformes, Columbidae.